GGGGCACAGGCGGUGGGGCCGGAGCUGGAUUAGGAGCUGGACUUGGGGCAGGAGCACUUCCUGGUUCAGGACUUGGAACAGGUGGACCUCUGGGUACUGGACGUGGGGCAGGAGCACUUCCUGGGUCUGGACUUGGGGCAGGAGGACUUCCUGGAUCCGGUUAUGCCGGAGCCAAAGCUCGAAAAUAUGGCCAGCCUGGAGGCACUGGUGGUGCACUUGGGGCUGGUGGAGUACCUGGUGGCGCUGGAGGAUUCCCUGGUGGAGCUGGAGCCUACCCUGGUGGAGCUGGUGGUGUGCCUGGUGGAGCUGGAGCCUACCCUGGUGGAGCUGGUGGUGUGCCUGGUGGAGCUGGAGCCUACCCUGGUGGAGCUGGUGGUGUACCUGGUGGAGCUGGAGGCUAUGCUGGUGCCAAGGCACGUAAAUAUGGCCUUCCUGGGGGUGGUGGAGGACCUGGUGGUGGAUUAGCUGCUGGCCUUGGAGGAGUGCCAGGAGGUGGGCCUGGGUCAGGUGUGAGGCCAGGAGGGGGAUACGGACAUGGUGGUGGAGUGGGCCCAGGAGGAGCUGGACCAGGUGGUUACGGACCAGGAGGAGCUGGACCAGGUGGUUACGGACCAGGAGGAGCUGGACCAGGUGGUUACGGAGCUGGUGGUGGAGUGGGCCCAGGAGGAGCUGGACCAGGUGGUUACGGACCAGGAGGAGCUGUACCAGGUGGUUACGGACCAGGUGGAGUGGGCCCAGGAGGAGCUGGACCAGGUGGUUACGGACCAGGAGGAGUGGGCCCAGGAGGAGCUGGACCAGGUGGUUACGGACCAGGAGGAGCUGUACCAGGUGGUUACGGACCAGGUGGAGUGGGCCCAGGAGGAGCUGGACCAGGUGGUUACGGACCAGGUGG
Molecule: long non-coding RNA, 892 nt
Organism: Clupea harengus (Atlantic herring)
Lineage: Eukaryota; Metazoa; Chordata; Actinopteri; Clupeiformes; Clupeidae
Source: Ensembl